GUGCUCACUUUAGCAGCACAUACACUAAAAUUGUAAUGACAUACAGAAGAUUAGCAUGUCCCCUGUGCAAGGAUGCCACACAAAUUCAUGAAGCAUUCUAUAUUUUU
RNAcentral lists this small nuclear RNA (107 nucleotides) under Microcebus murinus (gray mouse lemur). Lineage: Eukaryota; Metazoa; Chordata; Mammalia; Primates; Cheirogaleidae. The record is from RNAcentral.